Molecule: long non-coding RNA, 237 nt
Filed under: Vigna radiata
Lineage: Eukaryota; Viridiplantae; Streptophyta; Magnoliopsida; Fabales; Fabaceae
Description: long non-coding RNA (VRAD_LNC010105)
Source: RNAcentral
UUUCUUAGCCUCCCCUUAACCCGAUCCCUCGGCGAAAAGGGCCUAAUAUUAACUACUGGCUUGCUAUCCCUAGCCUCCCCUAGUAAUUAAUACCGCAUUAUAAACAGAAGUUAGCGCAAUUGAUCGUCCUACCCCUAUCCCUAGGUGGUAUUGCAAAAUCAAGAGAUUACUCACCAGUUCAUGUCAUUAUUGUACGUCCCCAUAUCAAUAAAAACAAACAUCAAUAUACCGAAUGAG